UCCUCAAUGGUCCAGUGGCUAGGAUUUGUCGCUUUCACCGACACGGCCGGGGUUCGAUUCCCCGUUGGGGAA
Choanephora cucurbitarum is the source of this 72-nucleotide non-coding RNA. NCBI's taxonomy places the organism in Eukaryota, Fungi, Mucoromycota, Mucoromycetes, Mucorales, Choanephoraceae. The record is from Rfam.